This 253-nucleotide ribosomal RNA is filed under the name uncultured bacterium. Its description in RNAcentral is "partial 16S ribosomal RNA". It matches the Rfam family "Bacterial small subunit ribosomal RNA", at positions 524 to 776 of the family's 1533-position model. The record is from RNAcentral.
UACAUAGGUCCCAAGCGUUGUUCUGAUUCAUUGGGCGUAAAGGGCGCGUAGGCGGCGUGGUAAGUCGGGUGUGAAAUCUCGGAGCUUAACUCCGAAACUGCAUUCGAUACUGCCGUGCUUGAGGACUGGAGAGGAGACUGGAAUUUACGGUGUAGCGGUGAAAUGCGUAGAUAUCGUAAGGAAGACCAGUGGCGAAGGCGGGUCUCUGGACAGUUCCUGACACUGAGACACGAAGGCCAGGGGAGCAAACGGG